Molecule: non-coding RNA, 176 nt
Filed under: Porticoccaceae bacterium
Lineage: Bacteria; Pseudomonadati; Pseudomonadota; Gammaproteobacteria; Cellvibrionales; Porticoccaceae
Description: 6S RNA
Rfam family: 6S / SsrS RNA
About the family: E. coli 6S RNA was the first non coding RNA to be sequenced, but its function was unknown until recently. It consists of 184 nucleotides that fold into an extended hairpin structure with a large single-stranded internal bulge.
Source: RNAcentral
GUCAUCCUCGAAUGUUUGCCAGCCAAGAAGUCCCUGAGCCGAUAAUUUUUACCCGGCUUCUUUCUGUCGACAUUGUUGUGCUAUGCCGUUCAUCGGAAAGCCUGAUAUGAAGCGAAAGUCGCCACCUUGAACUCUUCGGUUCAAGGCCACGUUGGCAGCGGCAUUCUGGGAUUUUA